GUGAACGCUGGCGGUAGGCCUAACACAUGCCAGUCGCACGGCAGCACAGUAAGAGCUUGCUCUUCCGGGUGGCGAGUGGCGGACGGGUGAGGAAUACAUCGGAAUCUACUUUUUCGUGGGGGAUAACGUAGGGAAACUUACGCUAAUACCGCAUACGACCUACGGGUGAAAGCAGGGGAUCUUCGGACCUUGCGCGAUUGAAUGAGCCGAUGUCGGAUUAGCUAGUUGGCGGGGUAAAGGCCCACCAAGGCGACGAUCCGUAGCUGGUCUGAGAGGAUGAUCAGCCACACUGGAACUGAGACACGGUCCAGACUCCUACGGGAGGCAGCAGUGGGGAAUAUUGGACAAUGGGCGCAAGCCUGAUCCAGCCAUACCGCGUGGGUGAAGAAGGCCUUCGGGUUGUAAAGCCCUUUUGUUGGGAAAGAAAAGCAGCAGGUUAAUACCCCGCUGUUCUGACGGUACCCAAAGAAUAAGCACCGGCUAACUUCGUG
This 491-nucleotide ribosomal RNA is filed under the name uncultured bacterium. RNAcentral's name for it is "partial 16S ribosomal RNA". It matches the Rfam family "Bacterial small subunit ribosomal RNA", at positions 29 to 507 of the family's 1533-position model. The record is from RNAcentral.